Molecule: ribosomal RNA, 253 nt
Filed under: uncultured bacterium
Lineage: Bacteria
Description: partial 16S ribosomal RNA
Rfam family: Bacterial small subunit ribosomal RNA
Source: RNAcentral
UACAGAGGGUGCAAGCGUUGUUCGGAAUUAUUUGGCGUAAAGCGCGUGUAGGCGGCUUUGCAAGUCGGGUGUGAAAGCCCUCAGCUCAACUGAGGAAGUGCGCCCGAAACUGCAGAGCUUGAGUGCCGGAGAGGGUGGCGGAAUUCCCCAAGUAGAGGUGAAAUUCGUAGAUAUGGGGAGGAACACCGGUGGCGAAGGCGGCCACCUGGACGGUAACUGACGCUGAGACGCGAAAGCGUGGGGAGCAAACAGG